UAUUUUAAAGAGAGUUUGAUCCUGGCUCAGGACGAACGCUGGCGGCGUGCCUAAUACAUGCAAGUCGAACGAACGGAGGAAGAGCUU
RNAcentral lists this ribosomal RNA (87 nucleotides) under Listeria monocytogenes. RNAcentral describes it as "partial 16S ribosomal RNA". It matches the Rfam family "Bacterial small subunit ribosomal RNA", at positions 1 to 84 of the family's 1533-position model. Lineage: Bacteria; Bacillati; Bacillota; Bacilli; Caryophanales; Listeriaceae. The record is from RNAcentral.